AUUGAACGCUGGCGGCAGGCUUAACACAUGCAAGUCGAACGAGUGGCGGACGGGUGAUUAAUGCUUGGGAAUCUCGCUUAUGGAGGGGGCUAACUACGGGAAACUGUAGCUAAUACCGCUUACCAUAGGAUGAGCCCACGUGGGAUUAGGUAGUUGGUGAGGUAAAGGCUCACCAAGACGACGAUCCCUCGCUGGUCGGAGAGGAUGACCAGCCACACUGGGACUGAGACACGGCCCAGACUCGUACGGGAGGCAGCAGUGGGGAAUAUUGCGCAAUGGGGGCAACCUGACGCAGCCAUGCCGCGUGAAUGAAGAAGGCCUUCGGGUUGUAAAGUUCUUUCGGUAGCGAGGCGUUAACUACAGAAGAAGCACCGGCUAACUCCGUGCCAGCCGCCGCGGUAAUUC
Molecule: ribosomal RNA, 405 nt
Filed under: uncultured bacterium
Lineage: Bacteria
Description: partial 16S ribosomal RNA
Rfam family: Bacterial small subunit ribosomal RNA
Source: RNAcentral